AAGGACGGGAGACUAGGAAGGCGAAGGGAGGCUGCUGUUGGCAGAGCCUCAGUGGGAACCUCCCGGGGUCCCGGGACGCAGACGGACGGGCCUGAAUCGCUCGCCUUGCAGUCGGUCCGUCACCCUGAAAUGGGAUCCAGCGCUGCCAACUGCGGGUUCGAGAGUAUGGCGGCUCCAGUCCCAGAGCCAGGAAAUUCGAGGCUUGGAUCUGGAGGGGAGGAGGAGAUCCUUUCAGUCCAGAUCUGCCGGAUUCUCGGGCUCCGGGUGAAAUUUGGACACAGAGAAGGACAGAGUGACAGCAAAAGGUGCCCCGGAACCGACGCCUGGACGCGGCCUCUGCUGCCCCAAGGAGCCUCUGCUUCCCCACGUCCUGGUGACUGGAGGUUCCGCCAGUUCCCCAGUGAAGGGGAAGGAGACUUCAGGAAACCGGAGUCUCCUCCUAGCUCUGCUCUGCUGGGUCCCCACCUCUCGCCACGAGGACGCCACGAAGGCCACAGAGAGAAGCCGGAGUCAGCAGAUAGGAACUCACUCGAGGCACUGAAGAAGAGGUAAGCCGUCCCUAUAUACAGUAAGAGCCGAGUCUUCACAGUCAGAUACCUUAAAAGGUCUACCCUGGGAUUCCCACCCAGUGUCCCUGCCUCCGGCGGCUAGAGCCUUAACGGGAGAAAGCCGGGCACUUGAGCAGAGGAGAAGGGCUAUGGGCGUUUGCAUCUGGGGUCCAGAGUCCUCUCCCUCCCCACAUCCCGACACUCCUCACCUGCGUGUAGCCUUCUGGGGCUCCUCUGCUCCCCCAUCCUAGUUCUGGAAGGAGUGCAGACCGAACCCAGGAGCCCGGGUAUCCGCGUCCUGAGUCCUAGCGCCCACCAGGACUGGAGCCUCCUCGCAUCUACUCUGAGGACAAAAUCCACUGGCAGAAUCUUCGUUUUUGUUUGGGAUGCUGGGUUUGAGAACACGCCAUGAACCAAGAGUCGUAAAUAAUCCAAUUUUGAGCACUUGAGAACCAAGUGGAAAGAAACUCAAGCCGAUUCAAAGUGACCAAUAUCUGGUUAUGCCCUUGAGCCCCUGCAGAAGCAAAGAAUAAUUUGUGUGUGCGUGUGGACAAAUACAUUUGUAUUCCAGAUCUCACAGAAAUUCCUACACCAAGAAAUUUACAAGGAAAAUGAACACUGCGCCCUAAAAAUUAACAAGGAAACAAGGUACCAGGAGCAACAACUCAUUAACAGGAACAGAAACUAAAUUGCAAACAUUUCAGAUGCAAAGUGUAUCAGACUCAUAAUACAACUAUUCCUACAGUGUCUAAAAAUAUGAAAGGCAAUAAAGAAAAUAUCUUUGACAACAGGACCUCCAGCCUUCUAGACUGAAAAAAGAACCAAAUAGUUCUAGAUAUAAAAGCACACAGUAAUGGAAACGGAACAACUAAAUGCACAUCACGGUAGGUUACAGUGCGGAGCAGUAUUGCGAGGGCUUCUGUGAGUCCCAGUGAGCUCUGGGCAUUCUGUCUGCAACUGCAAGGAUGGCCGAAACACAGCAGAACUCUCCUGUGCCUGUAACUCGAGUGGCCUCAAAAAAAAAAAAAAAAGGGUUGUCAUUGACUCUUUAAGUGCGUGCAGUCGCAGUCUGGGGACAUUUUUUCUCUUUCUGAAAGAAGGCCAUUUCAGCGGAGGGCACAGAUUGGGAGAACACAGAUUCAUGCCAGCGUGGUGCGGAAGGAGACUCUGGCGGGUCACCCCCAUUUAUGGGAGAACGCAGGGUGGUGAAGGAAGUCCUGCACUAGCGGGGACGUCGGUGGGGACUGAGGCUGCUGUGGGGGACCCCAAGUGCGCUCUGGUUUCUGGGGCUGAUUCAUUACCUCACUUUGUUUUCACCACCCUUAGGCCACCCAGUCCAUUUGUAGGUAUAGAAAGAAGCCUAUAAGGAAGCCCGGCUAGCUCAGUCGGUAGAGCAUGAGACUCUUAAUCUCAGGGUCGUGGGUUCGAGCCCCACGUUGGGCGUAUGUUUUGAUUCUGGCUGUCUCUCCCAGAAUCUACCCUCUAUCUGUGGAGGUAGAGGCCCCUGACAGAUGCAGACUUGCUGAUACCUUUUAGAUGUACCCCAAGGGUACGUCUUUUCCUCCCAGCUCUCUGCCCCUGGCAAUGCAAGACUUGGUGAAAGAAGAAACUCAGGCCGGGCGCGGUGGCUCAAGCCUGUAUUCCCAGCACUUUGGGAGGCCGAGACGGGCGGAUCACGAGGUCAGGAGAUCAAGACCAUCCUGGCUAACACGGUGAAACCCCGUCUCUACUAAAAAAUAAAAAAAAAAAAAAAACUAGCCAGGCGAGGUGGCGGGCGCCUGUAGUCCCAGCUGCUCAGGAGGCUGAGGCAGGAGCUUACAGUGAGCUGAGAUCUGGCCACUGCACUCCAGUCUGGGCGACAGAGCAAGACUCCGUCUCAAAAAAAAAAAAAAAAAAAAAAAAAAAA
This 2454-nucleotide transfer RNA is filed under the name Macaca mulatta (Rhesus monkey). RNAcentral's name for it is "lncRNA (ENSMMUG00000054262.1)". The stretch from base 1919 to 1991 matches the Rfam family "tRNA". Lineage: Eukaryota; Metazoa; Chordata; Mammalia; Primates; Cercopithecidae. The record is from RNAcentral.